This 460-nucleotide ribosomal RNA is filed under the name uncultured bacterium. Its description in RNAcentral is "partial 16S ribosomal RNA". It matches the Rfam family "Bacterial small subunit ribosomal RNA", at positions 338 to 795 of the family's 1533-position model. The record is from RNAcentral.
CCUACGGGCGGCAGCAGUGAGGAAUAUUGGUCAAUGGACGAGAGUCUGAACCAGCCAAGUAGCGUGAAGGAUGACUGCCCUAUGGGUUGUAAACUUCUUUUUUAUGGGAAUAAAACGUUCCACGUGUGGGAUUUUGUAUGUACCAUAUGAAUAAGGAUCGGCGAACUCCGUGCCAGCAGCCGCGGUAAUACGGAGGAUCCGAGCGUUAUCCGGAUUUAUUGGGGUUAAAGGGAGCGUAGGUGGAUUGUUAAGUCAGUGUUGAAAGUUUUCGGCGCAACCGUAAGAGUGCAGUUGAAACUGGCAGUCUUGAGUACAGUAGAGGUGGGCGGAAUUCGUGGUGUAGCGGUGAAAUGCUUAGAUAUCACGAAGAACUCCGAUUGCGAAGGCAGUUCACUGGACUGCAACUGACACUGAGGCUCGAAAGUGUGGGUAGCAAACAGGAUUAGAUACCCCUGUAGUC